UAGAAUGUUAAUGCAGAUUUAAUUUUGUUUGAUUUUAUUUAUAAGAAUCUUUAGGGAUACCAAUAAUUCUGACACCUAUCAUUUUAAUUAGCAGUUUUUAUGCGGGGCUGAAGUGAAGAUGGAGCGUCUCGUUUCCCGGAGAAAGCCACAGCUCCUCUCGCAGCAAAAAAGUAAAUACAUUAGGAAAGCUGAACGCUGAAGGUAUUUCAAGAUGUCAAGUUGUCACGCAAAGCUGGUCAUUCCCUAUAGCCUGAAGACGCUGCUGGAAGGGGUCAGCGGAGCUGUGAUGAGGAGACAGCCAGAAAACAUUCCAAUUUGUGCUUCUUGCUACUUUACAGAACUACUGAAGUUCAGAGACGAAAAUCCAUCUCUUGACAUGGAGGACCUAGUAAAUGAAUUUCGGCAAAUUAAGAGGUCGCGGUGAGCCGGAGCCUCACCCGGCAUACACAGGGUGCAAGGUGAGACUACACCCUGGACGGGACGCCAGUCCAUCGCAUGCUUUCAAUACAGCGUACAGG
Long non-coding RNA from Acipenser ruthenus (sterlet), 518 nucleotides. RefSeq lists it as uncharacterized. The transcript has 4 exons. The record is from RefSeq and is a predicted model, not a curated record. Lineage: Eukaryota; Metazoa; Chordata; Actinopteri; Acipenseriformes; Acipenseridae.